RNAcentral lists this ribosomal RNA (119 nucleotides) under Salmo salar (Atlantic salmon). RNAcentral also lists the same sequence under 1 other name. The record is from RNAcentral. Lineage: Eukaryota; Metazoa; Chordata; Actinopteri; Salmoniformes; Salmonidae.
ACUUACGGCCAUACCAGCCUGGGUACGCCCGAUCUCGUCUGAUCUCGGAAGCUAAGCAGGGUCGGGCCUGGUUAGUACUUGGAUGGGAGACCGCCUGGGAAUACCAGGUGCUGUAAGCA